This 647-nucleotide ribosomal RNA is filed under the name uncultured bacterium. RNAcentral describes it as "bacterial SSU rRNA". It matches the Rfam family "Bacterial small subunit ribosomal RNA", at positions 9 to 651 of the family's 1533-position model. The record is from RNAcentral.
GAGUUUGAUCCUGGCUCAGAUUGAACGCUGGCGGCAUGCCUUACACAUGCAAGUCGAACGGCAGCACGGGAGCAAUCCUGGUGGCGAGUGGCGAACGGGUGAGUAAUACAUCGGAACGUGCCCAGUAGUGGGGGAUAACCCGGCGAAAGCCGGACUAAUACCGCAUACGACCUACGGGUGAAAGCAGGGGAUCGCAAGACCUUGCGCUAUCGGAGCGGCCGAUGUCAGAUUAGCUUGUUGGCGGGGUAAAAGCCCACCAAGGCGACGAUCUGUAGCUGGUCUGAGAGGACGACCAGCCACACUGGGACUGAGACACGGCCCAGACUCCUACGGGAGGCAGCAGUGGGGAAUUUUGGACAAUGGGCGCAAGCCUGAUCCAGCCAUGCCGCGUGCGGGAAGAAGGCCUUCGGGUUGUAAACCGCUUUUGUCAGGGAAGAAACGCUCCGGGUUAAUACCCUGGAGUAAUGACGGUACCUGAAGAAUAAGCACCGGCUAACUACGUGCCAGCAGCCGCGGUAAUACGUAGGGUGCAAGCGUUAAUCGGAAUUACUGGGCGUAAAGCGUGCGCAGGCGGCUUUGCAAGACAGAUGUGAAAUCCCCGGGCUUAACCUGGGAACUGCAUUUGUGACUGCAUGGCUGGAGUGCGG